This 253-nucleotide ribosomal RNA is filed under the name uncultured bacterium. RNAcentral describes it as "partial 16S ribosomal RNA". It matches the Rfam family "Bacterial small subunit ribosomal RNA", at positions 524 to 776 of the family's 1533-position model. The record is from RNAcentral.
UACGUAGGGUCCGAGCGUUGUCCGGAAUUACUGGGCGUAAAGAGCUCGUAGGUGGUUUGUCGCGUUGUUCGUGAAAACUCACAGCUCAACUGUGGGCGUGCGGGCGAUACGGGCAGACUGGAGUACUGCAGGGGAGACUGGAAUUCCUGGUGUAGCGGUGGAAUGCGCAGAUAUCAGGAGGAACACCGGUGGCUAAGUCGGGUCUCUGGGCAGUAACUGACGCUGAGGAGCGAAAGCGUGGGGAGCGAUCAGG